UCAUCUUCUUCGAUGUGGGCGGUGCCCUCCACUCCACGACGGCGCGCCGCACUCUGCCCACGACCUCGACCUCCUCCCCCAUGACCACGACCUCAACCGCUCUGCCAGCUCCGCCACUUACGCACGCACGACCUCAACCUCGCCUGAUUCAGCGCAUAGAAGAGCGUGUGGCGUCGAGGUCGAGCGUGCGGCGCCGAGGUCGAGCGUGCGUCACCGAGGGAGAGGAAAACCACUGAGCGUUAUUUCCUAAGCCUCCUGCUUGAUGUCUCCACCGUCCCUCAACGCAAUUGCCGCCGCCCGGGAUGCGCUCCACCCCCGCCCGCUAAUCGUCCCCUUGCAACUGCCGCCGCGGCCGCCAAUCGGCCCCCAAGAACCAAAGGUUCGAGCUCCGCAGGUGGCAAGCUCCUUCUUCAUCCACGCCCUCCCUCCGCCUUGAGAACCAGAGGAAACCAGAGUCACCAAAACUACGGGCAAGACUGUACGAAGGGAAACAUAGUACUCCCACGAAGAAGAAGUGCUGCAACUGCAGGAACUCCAAAUGUUUGAAGUUGUUUCGAGUGGCUUCGCAUCGCAGGCUGCCAAGCCCACCGAGAAGCAGGUCAAGGUACUUGCCUUAUCCGUGAUGAGCGAAUGUAGUUGUAAAAUGGGAAACGUUGCUGUUUUAUUAUAUGGCCGGGAGUGGUGAACUGGUGAUAGGCUACUCUUGUCAGUGCAUAUGUAUUAUUUGCAACCCAUGGAUUAUGCAACUAUUUCUCUAUUAUAUUUAUAUUUUUUCCCUGAUAGUGCCUUCAUGUUUUGUGUUGUGCUUUCACAUCUUGAUAUUAUGUGCCUCAGUCAAAGUUUCAUAUUUGUUUCUAUUGUUUUCUUGGUUCAAAUCAUGCGUUGCUUGAUGGUGCUGCUGAUUUAGCUCUAGAGAUAUGGGGGAAACUACGGAGGAGGAACAAAUACAUAGUGAUAUUGCCAGCUGGCCUGGCAUUAAUAUGUCUGUAAAACCUACCAACUCCAGCCUUAAGUUGUAUGGUGGUGCAGCUUUUGGGAGACAUGCAUGAUUUCAUUGUGUAAUGUAUUUAAUGAAAUGCCCACAAGUCCAGUCUCAAGGGAGAAGGUUGCAAACAUACUACUUGCUCAUGUUGGAUGACAUGGAAGCAGUAGGUUGACCAAGGCAACAGCUGAGAUAGCUCGUGCAGCCAACCGAUCAUGGCUUGCUCUUCUUAUCGAUACUGCAUGUGACCAGUUUUCAUUUAUCCUACAAAGUCUGUUUGAUCUCGCUAUGGAGCACAACCGCAAUAAGGACUCACAAUGUAAGAGCUUGACCUUGCUAUUCAUGCUGGUUCGUCUUGCUUUACAUUUGCCUGGGUAUCAUUUGGUUCACAGUGAAGUAAAUUAUAAUUGUUUAGUAAAUAUUUCAUUUUAUUUUGUUCUACAUGUUCAUCAAAAGGUAGGCAAGGAUUGCAUUUUCUCUACUGCAUAUUUAGUCAUCUGCAUUCCCCAACUUAUGCUGUAAAUUUUGCUACCAAAUUAUGCUGUAGAUUUUGCUUUGCGAUAUCUCAGUAAUUGCAGGAGCAUAAUUUGGUAGCUAAUGUGUUAUUGUUUUGGUCUUCCCAAUGACGACUGUUGUUGGCACUUGGCAGGAUGAUUUUGUACGUCGUUUGUGCCAAACUGUUUUAGUUUUGACCAGGUUUAUAUGAAAAAUAGUUACACAAGUACAUUGUAAAAGUUAUUUUAUAAUUAAUAUAGUGAUACUAAUUUAGUGUUCUACAUGUUGAUAUUUUUUACUAUACUUUAGUCAACCCUAACUUCGUUUUGACCCAAGAAUUUUGGAAUGGACAGAAUGGUUCUUUCAUUAAUCCAUUGUUUUGUUUUAUAUGUUGAUCAGCCCAUCACAAUGCCUUUGACAGUGACUUUGCUUUUUAAGGUGCAGUCAAUACACAUGGCAUCCAUCAAAUUACAGAAGAAGUUAUUUGUAGGUAUCUAAGAAGUUGGAGUUGCAUCAAAAGGCGAGGGUGUCGCUAAGUUCCAACAUGCAUUAAAAUUCUAUUUUUGUGAUAUAAUAUUUUAUUAAAUAAUUUGUGUGUCUUUGCAACGCACUAGCAUUACGCAAACUCAAAUAGAAAUUUAUAUAUUAUAGUCAUUCUUGUCAUUCCGUAUCUAUGUUUUAUUCUAAUUUUUAACUUUCGUGGCAACGCACGGGCACAUACCUAUUAUUUCAUGAUGUGUGAUCUCUUUCUAAGACUUCUAUUUCCAUCUGAACUACAAUAUAUGAUAUUUAUCAUCAUUUUUUUCUAGAUCCAUCUUUCAUCCCAUCCACUCUCUGAAAAUCUAAGCUUGAAUGCCCAAUACUAAAUUUUGCAUUAUGGAAGCAGUUUGAACAAAGAACAAUCUCUGUCACUUUGUGUGGCCCACCAGUAAAAAUAAGACAACUUGUUAGUCUGAUUAUAUGCUUCUUUGAUUAAGAGGGCUAUGUUCAAAUAAAACAUUCCAGUAAACUGGACAAAGUAUCUUGAACUGGAAGAAGCCUUUCAAAAAUACACAUCCUUUUUCUACAGUUCAAUAACUCACAACUUCAAUUCUGGAUGCAAGUGUUUAUUAUUCUACACUCUGCUGAUUCAGACCUGAAAAUGUUUGCAGUUGCAAAGAGAAUAUCAAAUAAAAUACUUGUUGAGCUUAAGUUUCUUCAUCAAAUCAUUUUUGGGAGGCUUCAAAUGUUCUAUGAACACAAUGAUAAUAAGAUGAGCUACCCAGCAAUGGCUCAACUUCUGUCAAAUAUACUCUACUACAAGAGAAAUUGAUUGGGAUAACAUCUCUACUACUAUGAAGAAUCUAAGGGGUAGGAUGUCUCCCCUGGUUCAAUUGAAAGUAGAUGAGAAGAGUAAGGAACACAAAAAAUACCUAAGGAGGAUGUUGUAUACCUAAAAGUUGGAUUGCAACUUGAGUAUGAUAGGGGAACUACGAUGGGGAACAGUUGGAGUAAUGAUGCUGGUACUAAAAUUUUUUCUAUGCCUGAUGAUGAGUACAUAUCAGAAGAUACAAUUGUUGUUUAUGAUAAGCUAAAUCCUGUAAAUCCAAACUUCUAUUUAACAUGACUCUCUUUAUUUCCACUUUACAUGAAAAGUAGCACUAUACCAUGGUUUGGUGAAAGGAGAGAAGAUGAAGGUGCUGGUACAUCACAAUCAAUACUAGAAGCAAGACAGACGCACCCACUAUUGUUACUGAAGGUCAAGAUGCACAAGAUGAUCUGACAACACCACAUGCACCUAAGAUGUCCAAAAAGAUUACUCCAAGGAAGAAAAGCAAUUGAACUACCUUAUGUAUAUUCAAAAUUAGUGUAUUAUCCACUAUGUUGUGUCAAGAACUAUGACUUCAAAAUUAGUGUGUCAUGAACUAUGCUGUUUCAUGAACUAUGUCUUCAAAUUCUGGGAAGUGGAGUGCAGUUUCUUGUAUAAUUUUGAACAUGUCCAUGUGCACCUACUCUGCUAAUUGUGUCAUGGACUGACAUGAAUUAUGUCAUGAACUCUGCCAACUGUGUCAUGAACUGGGAAGUGGAGUGCACCAACCGUGUCAUGAACAUGUCCAGUUUACUGCAACUCUGCCAAUGAUAAUAAAAUGUCCAGUUUGUAGGAC
Zea mays is the source of this 3621-nucleotide RNA transcript. RefSeq lists it as uncharacterized. The record is from RefSeq and is a predicted model, not a curated record. The transcript is spliced from 5 exons. NCBI's taxonomy places the organism in Eukaryota, Viridiplantae, Streptophyta, Magnoliopsida, Poales, Poaceae.